This 791-nucleotide ribosomal RNA is filed under the name bacterium. RNAcentral's name for it is "bacterial SSU rRNA". It matches the Rfam family "Bacterial small subunit ribosomal RNA", at positions 76 to 867 of the family's 1533-position model. The record is from RNAcentral.
UAGCUUGCUAGAGAUGAUUAGUGGCGGACGGGUGAGUAACAUUUAGGAAUCUGCCUAGUAGUGGGGGAUAGCUCGGGGAAACUCGAAUUAAUACCGCAUACGACCUACGGGUGAAAGGGGGCGCAAGCUCUUGCUAUUAGAUGAGCCUAAAUCAGAUUAGCUAGUUGGUGGGGUAAAGGCCCACCAAGGCGACGAUCUGUAACUGGUCUGAGAGGAUGAUCAGUCACACCGGAACUGAGACACGGUCCGGACUCCUACGGGAGGCAGCAGUGGGGAAUAUUGGACAAUGGGGGCAACCCUGAUCCAGCCAUGCCGCGUGUGUGAAGAAGGCCUUUUGGUUGUAAAGCACUUUAAGCAGGGAGGAGAGGCUAAUGGUUAAUACCCAUUAGAUUAGACGUUACCUGCAGAAUAAGCACCGGCUAACUCUGUGCCAGCAGCCGCGGUAAUACAGAGGGUGCGAGCGUUAAUCGGAAUUACUGGGCGUAAAGCGAGUGUAGGUGGCUCAUUAAGUCACAUGUGAAAUCCCCGGGCUUAACCUGGGAACUGCAUGUGAUACUGGUGGUGCUAGAAUAUGUGAGAGGGAAGUAGAAUUCCAGGUGUAGCGGUGAAAUGCGUAGAGAUCUGGAGGAAUACCGAUGGCGAAGGCAGCUUCCUGGCAUAAUAUUGACACUGAGAUUCGAAAGCGUGGGUAGCAAACAGGAUUAGAUACCCUGGUAGUCCACGCCGUAAACGAUGUCUACUAGCCGUUGGGGUCCUUGAGACUUUAGUGGCGCAGUUAACGCGAUAAGUAG